AAGUAAGAAGCAAAAACUUGCAUUUAGUUUCGGCCUAAAAAUUUGAUGAUUUUUCAUCCUUACUUU
This 66-nucleotide transfer RNA is filed under the name Howea angulata. RNAcentral describes it as "tRNA-Arg". Lineage: Eukaryota; Metazoa; Arthropoda; Insecta; Coleoptera; Cerambycidae. The record is from RNAcentral.